GACAGAGGGGGCAAGCGUUGCUCGGAAUCACUGGGCGUAAAGGGCGCGUAGGCGGGAUGGCAAGUCAGUCGUGAAAUCUCUCGGCUCAACCGAGAAACGUCGGCUGAUACUGCCGUUCUUGAGGGAUGCAGAGGAGACUGGAAUUCCCGGUGUAGCGGUGAAAUGUGUAGAGAUCGGGAGGAACACCGGUGGCGAAGGCGGGUCUCUGGGCAUCUCCUGACGCUGAGGCGCGAAAAGCGUGGGGAGCAAACGGG
Molecule: ribosomal RNA, 254 nt
Filed under: uncultured bacterium
Lineage: Bacteria
Description: partial 16S ribosomal RNA
Rfam family: Bacterial small subunit ribosomal RNA
Source: RNAcentral